GUUGAUCCCGCCGGACCCGACUGCUAUUUGGGUGAGAAUAAGCCAUGCGAGUUGAAUGGGAUACCUAAAGUUCCCAUAGCAAACUGCUCAGUAACACAUGAUCAACUUACCCUAUAGAGAAAAAUAACCUCGGGAAACUGAGGAUAAUGUUUCAUAAUUGAAUUGGCUUGGAAAAGUUUUUCAAUGAAAAGGAUAAAAAAAAUGGUUUUUAUCUGCUAUAGGAUAGGAUCGUGUUCGAUUAUGGUUGUUGGUGAGAUAAUGGCUCACCAAGCCGAUAAUCGAUAGGGGCCGUGAGAGCGGGAGCCCCGAGAUGGGUACUGAGACAACGACCCAGGCCUUACGAGGCGCAGCAGGCGCGGAACCUCCGCAAUACACGAAAGUGUGACGGGGUUACCCAAAGUGUUCAAUAGAACUGUGGUAGGUGAGUAAUGUUCCCUACUAGAAAGGAGAGGGCAAGGCUGGUGCCAGCCGCCGCGGUAAAACCAGCUCUUCAAGUGGUCGGGAUAAUUAUUGGGCUUAAAGUGUCCGUAGCCGGUUUAGUAAGUUCCUGGUAAAAUCGGGUAGCUUAACUAUCUGCAUGCUAGGAAUACUGCUAUACUAGAGGGCGGGAGAGGUCUGAGGUACUACAGGGGUAGGGGUGAAAUCUUAUAAUCCUUGUAGGACCACCAGUGGCGAAGGCGUCAGACUGGAACGCGCCUGACGGUGAGGGACGAAAGCCAGGGGAGCGAACCGGAUUAGAUACCCGGGUAGUCCUGGCCGUAAACGAUGCAUACUAGGUGAUGGUACGGCCAUGAGCCGUAUCAGUGCUGUAGGGAAACCGUUAAGUGUGCCGCCUGGGAAGUACGGUCGCAAGGCUAAAACUUAAAGGAAUUGGCGGGGGAGCACCACAAAGGGUGAAGCCUGCGGUUCAAUUGGAGUCAACGCCGGAAAUCACUAGUGCGGCCGCCUGC
Molecule: ribosomal RNA, 950 nt
Filed under: uncultured archaeon
Lineage: Archaea
Description: partial 16S rRNA
Rfam family: Archaeal small subunit ribosomal RNA
Source: RNAcentral